AUUCAAUGCUAAGAUUUAGUUAAGUUAGACCAAUGCAUUUUCAUAUAUUUGUUGGUGUUUGUCCUUGGUUUGAGUGAAAUGAAAAAGAAAAUAUUUGUCUUGAAACUAGGUGAAAAUAUCUACUAUCUAAUCUAACAUUAAGUUUAAAACAAGUUGGAAAGAAUAGUGUCAUUGAACUAAGAAUGCUUCUGAACUGCUCAAUAUUCUUUCUUUUGUGUUCCAUGAUUUAAGGUUCUAGACAUAUGAGAAACAUUGGGAAGCUUUAUGGGGUUUUACUUGUGUGAUAGUAGACCUUUUUGUUGCAUGUUAGAAGGUUCAUGAGGGACAAUUCAUUGAAUGCGAGAAGGUUCUUGUUAGAGAUAUCGUGUUUUCCUCUGACAUGCGUGUCAACAGUCAAAUCAACCUUUCUUUUCCUUUUCAAAGUUAUAAACUCCCUCAUGCCAAUUUAUGUGGCACCGUUUGACUGGCACGAAGUAUAAGAAAGAAAGGAAGACUUGAAAUUUGUGGUCUAACACACUCCUUGACCAUUUAUGUGGCCUAUAAAUCAUUUCAUUAUGGGUAAAAGGGGAAUUUUAAAGUUAAAUUAUUUUUGAUUAUAGAAAGGUGACAUUUAUUUGGGACGGACUAAAAAGGAAGGUGUGCCACAUAAAUUGGGACAAAGGGAGCAUCAGUUUUCUCCAAUCUUAUUCAAACAAAACACCCUUGGAGUUUCUCAUCUCCGUUUUAUUUUAAAGGAAAAAGCAUGGGUAAAAAUCUGCAAUCUUUUUGCUUAUGCAAAAUAACGUGGUGUUAUGUGAUUAUUGGGAUCAACAUGCAACAAGGUACAAAUGGGAGCUGUAAUAGAAAUUAAUUAGGGAGUUAUUGUUUCUAGACCCCAACUCAAAUGGGUUCUCCUUCAGAUACCUGAACACGUCCAAAACCACUAUUUUAAACGCCUCCGUUUGAUUAAUUAUGGAACGUCUUCGCCAAUCGCGUACACAUAGCUAACCACCAUCAGUGUGGAGCCUGUUUACUAUUUCAUACAAUCCCAUUUGCCGAUACAAAAUUUCUCUUAUUUUUUCCAUUAGACUCACCAAAUCAUACUAUGGCAAUCCAAAGAGUUCCAUUUAACAUGGAAGAGAGAACCCGAGACCACGAAACGUCAAGCUUAGACAGGCCCAAGAGGGUUUGCAUGUGGUGGAUUUUACUAAUUUACGUCCUUAGGCAAGGUGGCAGCAAACAAAGGGGUUUCAAGGAGGAAGAAUGGGAGGAAUUGAGGUGGGGGAAAGGGUUGUUGAACCUCAUUGUUUGCAUAAAAAGAAGGUGAAGGGUUCUAGGGAAGAAUCCGCUGGCAAUGAUGUUGGUUGCCGAGAGAGUGUUGAGGCUUAAAGAUAAAAAGAGGGUUUUGUUUAGGACUUGGAUGUGAGUAGAAAUGAAAAUGUGGAAAGACGCGGGGGAGGAAAAUGGCAGGAAAGGUUCUUCCAUGACUGAAAAUAAUGGUGUUCGCAGGUGGAUUUUUCUGGUGGCCAAGGUUAAAAGGAUGGGGGAAUGAGGAGGAAAGAGAGAUAAAAAGGAGGGUUUCUUUUAACUGUUUGUAGUUCUAUUUUUGACCGUCGCGCUCUUUGAAGUUGUAGAUACCACAUAUUUGGUCCAAGUCAAGCCAUUUAAUUGCCACAGAAGCUCAAUCAUGGUGUUGAAAACAUUAGAUCCAUUAUAGGCUAAGUUGUCUGGAUGAGAACCAUAGAGUUGGGAGGUUGGAACAGAAUUUCGUUCAAGUACGAGUGUCAAUUAACCUAUUACGCCUUUUAUUACGUGUUUCCCCUAAAAGUCUUGUUACAAGCACUAGUAUCAUCAUUUAUCUCUAUCUUAUUUCAGCCUAUGUAGUAGUGACUGCUGGUAGUCUUAACUUUGUACAAACUGAGAUGCUAGGCCCCUUGCUUCCUCACAAAUGAAAUCAGAAAACCAGCGUUGAUAUUCAUUUCUCUUUUCUUCUACAUUUAGUAAGCUUUCCAUCUUUUGAUUUCUUGUUCCUCUAUUGAGAACACAACAUAUAUGAAAUAAAUACACUUAGAACUAGUUGGAUUUUAACCUUAUUAGAUUUGGGCAACUUGUAUAUUUAUGGGGUAACUUCACCUCUUGUGCAGCUUACUGUUACCAUUUGAUAUAUCAAACUCUGUUACCUUCUUCAAAAAAGAUUUGGGCUACAUGUGAUAUCGUGAAUGUUAUUAGUCCUUUUAUGGUUUCCUUCUUUGUUCUAAUUCAUUGUUUGAUGCAGGAUGUAUCGAGCCAUGUUGGCAUUAGAGGACUACGAAUAUGCAGCAGAUAUUCUUGAUAAAAUACAAAGGGAUGAUAUUCAUGUUUGCAGUGUAGUCCAAGCUUGUCAAGCAGCUUAUGGAACUGGGAAAGGGAAAGGGAAAAAGAAAAAAAAGAAAACUGGGAAGGAUGUGGCAUGUGAGACGUGAAAAGUGUAGUUCGUAGGGGAUUUAGAAAAUUCCUCGGUAUGUAUUAGUUCUGAACAUUCCAGUCUUUGUUCGUGCUGAUUUUUUUCCCUUCCUCUUUGUUCUCCUUUUUUGGGUGCAGCAUUUCUUUGAGAUCGACAUUUUGCAGAUCAUUUAGAUGUACAACUUUUAGUGGAGAACUCCUUUUUCAUAUACCGCGUGAGAGCUCUGUACUAAUCCUGCCUUAAAGUUGCCCCGAGUUUAACAGUAAGUUGGAAGUGGAUCAAGAGAACUUCUGGUAUCAUUGAAUCGUUGCUUAAAAUCAUUUUGACCCAUCGAAUACGACGCACUAAGAUGAAGUGGUGUCUUGUUUUAUUUUGAAGAGGAGCUGAAACAUGUGUCUGCUCUAGUUCUUAGAAAAGAACAGGCCGUAUAUGUACUUCCAUUUGGCCGCUAGUCGUCUUCCUGUACUAACAUUCCAGACCAUCUUUUGCUCAAUUGUGAAAACAUGGCAGAUUAGUUAUGCUUA
Capsicum annuum is the source of this 2946-nucleotide long non-coding RNA. RefSeq lists it as uncharacterized. The transcript is spliced from 2 exons. Lineage: Eukaryota; Viridiplantae; Streptophyta; Magnoliopsida; Solanales; Solanaceae. The record is from RefSeq and is a predicted model, not a curated record.